CCCUUAGACGUUCUGGGCCGCACGCGCGCUACGCUGGCCGGUGCAACAAGCAUCCGUCCUUGGCCGACAGGCCCGGGCAAUCUUUGAACGCCGGUCGUGAUGGGGAUAGACUUUUGCAAUUUUUGGUCUUCAACGAGGAAUUCCUAGUAAACGCAAGUCAUCAACUUGCAUUGAUUACGUCCCUGCCCUUUGUACACACCGCCCGUCGCACCUACCGAUUGAAUGGUCCGGUGAAGCCUCCGGAUUGGCGCGCACCUCGGUGCCGCCGAGAAGUUGGCUAAACCUUACCAUUUAGAGGAAGGUGAAGUCGUAACA
This 315-nucleotide ribosomal RNA is filed under the name uncultured eukaryote. Its description in RNAcentral is "partial 18S ribosomal RNA". It matches the Rfam family "Eukaryotic small subunit ribosomal RNA", at positions 1470 to 1796 of the family's 1831-position model. The record is from RNAcentral.